This 388-nucleotide ribosomal RNA is filed under the name uncultured eukaryote. Its description in RNAcentral is "partial 18S ribosomal RNA". It matches the Rfam family "Eukaryotic small subunit ribosomal RNA", at positions 592 to 976 of the family's 1831-position model. The record is from RNAcentral.
CAAUAGCGUAUAUUAAAGUUGUUGCAGUUAAAAAGCUCGUAGUUGGAUUUCUGAUCGAGACAUCAGGUCGGGUCCGAGAGGAUCAUGUACUUUGAUUUUGUUUUGAUCAUCCUUGGGGAGAGCAUUUCUGGCGUUCAGUUGUCGGGAUUGGGAUCCUCAUCGUUUACUGUGAAAAAAUUAGAGUGUUCAAAGCAGGCCUCGGCCUCUGAAUACAUUAGCAUGGAAUAAUAAGAUAGGACUUUGGUGGUCUAUUUUGUUGGUUUGCACGCCAAAGUAAUGAUUAAUAGGGAUAGUUGGGGGUAUUCGUAUUCAAUUGUCAGAGGUGAAAUUCUUGGAUUUAUGGAAGACGAACUACUGCGAAAGCAUUUACCAAGGAUGUUUUCAUUAA